RNAcentral lists this ribosomal RNA (440 nucleotides) under uncultured bacterium. Its description in RNAcentral is "partial 16S ribosomal RNA". It matches the Rfam family "Bacterial small subunit ribosomal RNA", at positions 338 to 795 of the family's 1533-position model. The record is from RNAcentral.
CCUACGGGUGACAGCAGUGGGGGAUAUUGCACAAUGGGGGAAACCCUGAUGCAGCGACGCCGCGUGUGGGAAGACGGUCCUCUGGAUUGUAAACCACUGUCCCCAGGGACGAAGAUGACGGUACCUGGGGAGGAAGCUCCGGCUAACUACGUGCCAGCAGCCGCGGUAAUACGUAGGGAGCGAGCGUUGUCCGGAAUUACUGGGUGUAAGGGGAGCGUAGGCGGGACUGCAAGUUGGGUGUCAAAUCUACCGGCUCAACCGGUAGCCGCACUCAAAACUGCAGUUCUUGAGUGAAGUAGAGGCAGGCGGAAUUCCUAGUGUAGCGGUGAAAUGCGUAGAGAUUAGGAGGAACACCAGUGGCGAAGGCGGCCUGCUGGGCUUUUACUGACGCUGAGGCUCGAAAGUGUGGGGAGCAAACAGGAUUAGAUACCCGGGUAGUC